UGUUUGUGUGUGUGUGUGUGUGUGUGUGUGUGUGUGUGUGUGUGUGUGUGUGUGCUCAGGACAGAAAUGCCCAUUCAGCAGUUAAAAAGGGAUCAUUGCAGGGUUUAGCUCCCGCCCCUCGCUCUCCAUCCUCCCCACUUCCCCCGUCUCUCCAUCUUUUUUAUUUCACGCCCCAUAUCUCCACUGCAUCCAUCU
Salarias fasciatus (jewelled blenny) is the source of this 195-nucleotide long non-coding RNA. RefSeq lists it as uncharacterized. The transcript has 3 exons. NCBI's taxonomy places the organism in Eukaryota, Metazoa, Chordata, Actinopteri, Blenniiformes, Blenniidae. The record is from RefSeq and is a predicted model, not a curated record.